Molecule: transfer RNA, 61 nt
Filed under: Proasellus cavaticus
Lineage: Eukaryota; Metazoa; Arthropoda; Malacostraca; Isopoda; Asellidae
Description: transfert RNA-L2(TTA)
Source: RNAcentral
UCUAGUGUAGUCCAGAGUAAGACGUAGGGUUUAAGCCCCUGAGGUGCGAUUGUCUCUAGAA